GUCUAGGAUGAUUCUAUAUCUCUGAAAUCAUGAUUAAAAGAGGAUCACAAAAUUGAGAUGAUUUUUAAAAUGGUAUUCUUUAGUUAAUUGAGAUAUAUGAAAAAUGCAUGCAUGUGUAGUGGAUAUGGAUUUCGUAACCUUGGUACAGAAUAUGAGCAUAUUAGGAUGAGUUUUGAUUCAUAAAAGCCCAUGUGAGAUAUUUGAGCUAUGUCCCUUUUUCUUGGAGUGAUGAAUGAAAAACAUAUUCUUAAUUUCUUGGCGAUAUUAAGUUUGAUGGACUAGAGAAUGCUAGAAUUCACUCUUGUGCUUGUUGAAACGUUAUAUCAAUACAUGGCCCUGAUUCUGGAAGGGAUAGAGGCAACCUAGGAAUUAUCACCAUUGCCAAAUAAGCAUGUGUCCCUAUUUGUGCCCGUCAUGGGACUCCCU
Molecule: long non-coding RNA, 426 nt
Filed under: Rosa chinensis
Lineage: Eukaryota; Viridiplantae; Streptophyta; Magnoliopsida; Rosales; Rosaceae
Description: sRNA RchiOBHm_Chr2g0142401
Source: RNAcentral